GCGUUUCUUUUUAAAUUGAAAGGCAAUGCAACUUAAGUGUUUCCAAACAUAAAUUAAUUGGCAACACUUAUGCAUUUAUAUUGCGACGCUUUUAGAGUGAGCUGUAUUCAUAAUUCUAAAAGCAACACUUCACAAGUGUGCGCUAAAGAAAUUUAAUAAAAUUCCCCCUUCCUUUAAAUUUCCCGUGAAACAUUUCCCCCCAUUUUGAAAGUGCAAACAAUUUCCCUCCUAAUGACAUCAGUUCAUUAGGUUUUCUGUUUUGCCCACCUUCACCGUAAUCUCCAUAGACACUAUCACCUCAUGUGCCAAAUUUCCCUCCACCCUAAAAUUUGCAGUGAUGCCUCAUUUUCUUUCUGAAAUGUGCUCUUAUAUAUGUCAAUAUUUGCUUAAGUGAAAUUCAACAAGGAAAAAAAAUUUCAACAGAGUUCAAAUACAGAUUUCAUUCAGUAUAGGUUAUACAUGUGGACACUGCAGUGAACAGAGGAUUCUUCAUGUUCUCAAAUAAGAUCAACGUAGAGCAAAAGUGAGGAAGGCAAAGAAAAAGGAUAGAGGUACUUCAGAGCUUAAGAUCGUCCUUUGGGUUCAACUGAAGAGGAAAGUUCUGGUGGACAAUUAAAAAUGGUGCCAAAAGACUAUUUGAUCUAUUGGAAUUUAACGAUGAAGACUUUGGACAAUUACGAUUUUUGUAAUUCCUGAUACUAUAUUUGAUUUUGUAAAGUUACAAGCAUGAACCUUGAAAUAAUUUGCUUCAUUGUAUUACACAAGAUUUAAUCUUUUUUUGAA
Molecule: long non-coding RNA, 783 nt
Organism: Nicotiana tabacum (common tobacco)
Lineage: Eukaryota; Viridiplantae; Streptophyta; Magnoliopsida; Solanales; Solanaceae
Source: RefSeq, a predicted model, not a curated record